AUGAGCGAAAGUCCUGGAGGUUCACAACAUCCUCGGAUCUCUCUUUACGCUGAUGAUGCUGCCAUCUUCAUUGCCCCUUCGGUGCAGGAUAUAUCCUGCCUGGCAAAUAUUCUUCAAGGCUUCGGGGAGGUUACGGGCAUGGUGACCAAUGUGGCUAAGAGCUCUAUUGCCCCAAUUCGCUGCUCCGAUGUUGACCUCACCGCAGUUCUGGCAAACUUCUCGGCGGCUAUCACCCAGUUCCCUCUCAAGUAUUUGGGGUUGCCCUUGUCGCUUGGUAGACUUAGAAGGACCGACCUUCAGCCAUACAUUGAUAAAGCUGCGUCAAGGUUGAACCCUCUGAAAGGAAGAUUCCUAAAUCGGGCGGGG
Molecule: ribosomal RNA, 366 nt
Filed under: Triticum aestivum (bread wheat)
Lineage: Eukaryota; Viridiplantae; Streptophyta; Magnoliopsida; Poales; Poaceae
Description: partial small subunit ribosomal RNA
Source: RNAcentral